AAUGAACGUUGGCGGCGUGGAUUAGGCAUGCAAGUCGAGCGAGAACCCCGCAAGGGGGGACAGCGGCGAAAGGGACAGUAAUGUGUAGAUUAUCUGCCCUCAGGUCCGGGAUAGCUGCGGGAAACUGCAGGUAAUACCGGAUAACAUCUCCGGAUCAAAGGUGUGAUUCCGCCUGAGGAUGAGUCUGCAUCCUAUUAGCUAGUUGGUGGGGUAAUGGCCUACCAAGGCAUUGAUGGGUAGCAGGUGUGAGAGCACGACCUGCGUCAUUGGGACUGAGACACUGCCCAGACACCUACGGGUGGCUGCAGUCGAGAAUCUUCGGCAGUGGGCGCAAGCCUGACCGAGCGACGCCGCGUGUGGGAUGAAGGCCUUCGGGUUGUAAACCACUGUCAGAGGGGAUGAAAUGCAGGUGGGUUCUCCCAUCUGUUUGACAUAGCCUCAGAGGAAGGACGGGCUAAGUUCGUG
This 465-nucleotide ribosomal RNA is filed under the name uncultured bacterium. RNAcentral's name for it is "partial 16S ribosomal RNA". It matches the Rfam family "Bacterial small subunit ribosomal RNA", at positions 29 to 507 of the family's 1533-position model. The record is from RNAcentral.